GUGCUUGCUUCGGCAGCACAUAUACUAAAAUUGGAUACAGAGAAGAUUAGUAUGGCCCCUGCGCAAGGAUGACAAAUUGGUGAAGCGUUCCAUAUUAAA
Molecule: small nuclear RNA, 99 nt
Filed under: Myotis brandtii (Brandt's bat)
Lineage: Eukaryota; Metazoa; Chordata; Mammalia; Chiroptera; Vespertilionidae
Source: RNAcentral